This 254-nucleotide ribosomal RNA is filed under the name uncultured bacterium. RNAcentral's name for it is "partial 16S ribosomal RNA". It matches the Rfam family "Bacterial small subunit ribosomal RNA", at positions 524 to 776 of the family's 1533-position model. The record is from RNAcentral.
UACGUAGGGUGCAAGCGUUGUCCGGAAUUAUUGGGCGUAAAGAGCUCGUAGGCGGUUUGUCGCGUCGGCUGUGAAAACUCGGGGCUCAACCCCGAGCCUGCAGUCGAUACGGGCAUGACUGGAGUUCGGCAGGGGAGACUGGAAUUCCUGGUGUAGCGGUGAAAUGCGCAGAUAUCAGGAGGAACACCGGUGGCGAAGGCGGGUCUCUGGGCCGAUACUGACGCUGAGGAGCGAAAGCGUGGGGAGCGAACAGG